UAUCUAUUAUUAUUUACGAAAUAUAACCUAGUUAUGUCAACCACAUCUUCGUCUCCAAGUAUAACUGUUGUUGUCAACAACAACGAAGAAGGUUUUGACAUUGUUGCUUGACAUGCUCUAAAUAACAGUUAAAUCUCCCUGACGUCUCACCCUACUGUCUUGACGUAAAAAGUGAAAAAAUUACAUUUUGACACUUGUUCUUCUUUGGAAAGAAAAGAAAAUAUAUGACGGCCAAUGCUGGGGUUCCUAAGAAGCCAUGGGAUAAUAUAUAUCGGGAAAGUAAAAGACUAAAUGAUUAUAGUUGAAACGCCUUCUUGAUCAGGAUUGGUCUACGGCUAAACUAUAACGAAAGCACAGCUGUUGUUGCUAAUAAUUUAUUCUUGGCAACAAAUUCCAUAAAAGAAUAAUCAAAGAAAGUCAGAUGCUAAAAACCUUUAAAUAGACAAGGUUGGUGCGAGGAAAAAGAAAUACAAAAGAACUAACAAAUGGUCCCAUUUCCAGCGUUCUCCUCGAAAAUAUUUCCAUAGUUUCUGUUUGUUUAUUUAUUUAUUGUAUUUACCUCUCAAAUUUCAAAGCGUUUAUGACUGGGUGUUUAUUAAACUGAUUGCAGUUUCCCUGCAAAAGCCAAGCUCUGUGCUCUUAUUUAACAAGCUAGAGUCAUUGCGCUUUGGGAAGAAACGGUAAAGAAAGAAAAUAUAAUUUGAUAUUUAUCGCGUUUAGAGAAAAAAAGUGCCGAGAAGGAAAUUUUGGCAUAGAUUCAUAGGACCUAUUUUGCAUAAAACAUAAACAAUGAUUUGAAUACUGACAAUGAAUUUCAACAUUUAAAUUUGAGGAGCCUUCAAUUAUACCUGCCAGAUCUUGGAAUAUUCUUCAAAGAUACCAGCAGAGUCCCAGACACACAUGUAGCUGUUUAGGAAUUGAACCUGAAUCACUGUGAUUGAAUGUGGAAGCACGCUUAAAGACCCAAACAGGAUUUCAUCAGGGAUUGAUGAUAUCACCCAACAACUAACAUUAAGAAGUUUUUAUCGACAGUUGUGCAGACCAGCAAAAAUGCAAGAGACCCAGCUGAAGCUUAACUUGUUAGAACCUCAGUUGUAAACAACAUAUUGGAAUGUCAUAAACAAUUUUGUCUUUGGAACCUUUCUUCAAUGGCCAUUAGGUAUAUAUAGAUCGUUUGUCUGGUAACUGACCAAUGGUUGUGACUCAGUUGGUCAACUUGCUGCAGGAACGGAUCUUUACCUUUUGGCCGGCACAUUUUGAGUUCAAAUUCUGCUGAGGUCGACUUUGCCUUUCAUCUUUUGGGGGUUGAUAAAUGAAGUACCAGUUGCAUCCUGGGGUCGAUCUAAUCAACUGGUUCCCUCCCCCAAAAUUUCAGGCCUUGUGCCUAGAGUAGAAAAGGAUAUUAUUCAUGUUUUAUGAGAAAUUGAAUUAAAUAUGAAUACUUUAUA
Molecule: long non-coding RNA, 1448 nt
Organism: Octopus bimaculoides (California two-spot octopus)
Lineage: Eukaryota; Metazoa; Mollusca; Cephalopoda; Octopoda; Octopodidae
Source: RefSeq, a predicted model, not a curated record